Molecule: ribosomal RNA, 1767 nt
Filed under: Triticum aestivum (bread wheat)
Lineage: Eukaryota; Viridiplantae; Streptophyta; Magnoliopsida; Poales; Poaceae
Description: partial small subunit ribosomal RNA
Source: RNAcentral
AUGGAAGUCUCGGCCAUGGAGGAAGCCGCCGUUCGUGUCCCUGUCCCUGCGGCGAGGAGGAAGGGCGGCCUCAGAACCAUACCGUUCAUCAUCUCGAACGAGAUCUUCGAGAAGGUGGCGACGUACGGGCUGCAAGCGAACAUGGUCGUAUACCUCACCAAGCGGUACAACAUGACGCCGGCCGCCAGCGCCAUGGUGCUCUACCUUUGGUCCGCCCUCACCAACUUCCUGCCCAUCGGCGGCGGCGUGUUGUCGGACGUUUUCUUCGGCCGGUUCCCGGUCAUCGCCGUGGGAUGCGUCGUCAGCCUCUCGGGGAUGUGCCUGCUAUUGGUGACUGCGAUCCUGCCGGUGUACAAGAAGACUCUGGGGUGCGACCCGGCCAACCCGAGCGCGUGCACGAUGCUGCCGUGCCAGCUGCCGCUACUGUUCACGUCGUUCAUGCUCAUGUCGCUCGGGGCGGGCGGCAUCCGGCCGUGCGCGCUGGCGUUCGGAGCGGACCAGCUGGACAAGCGGGACAACAGCACCAAGAACGUGAGGAGGCUGCAGACCUUCUUCAACUGGUACUACACCGUGCUGGGGCUCUCCCUCGUCGUUGCCGUCCUCGUCAUCGUCUACAUACAGGACCACAUGGGGUGGGUCGUCGGCUUCUCCGUGCCCGUCGUGCUCAUGCUCGCCGCUCUCAUGCUCUUCCUGGCCGGCUCGCCUUUGUACCUCAAGGCGGAGGCCGACAGGAGCGUGCUGGUGGGCAUCGUGCAGGUGCUCGUCGCCAGCUACAAGAACCGGCGCGAGCUGUUGCCGCCGGACACGGCCGAAGCGUCGUGCUUUCACAACAAAGCUGGCUCCAGGCCCAGAGUUCCCACCAAGAAGAUGGUGUCUAUGAACCGGGCGUGCGUGCUCAGGAACCCGAGCAAGGAGCUCAACAGCGACGGGUCGGCGUGUGACCCGUGGCGGCUGUGCACGGUGCAGCAGGUGGAGGACGCCAAGGCCGUCAUCCGCGUGCUGCCGAUAUGGUCCACGGGGAUCAUACCGGGCGUGAUCGUCGCCCAGGUGAUGUUCCCCGUGCUGCAAGCAGGUACGAUGGAUCGGCAGAUGGGCAAGGUGGAGGUCCCCGCCGCAUCCUACAGCGUCUUCGGCAUCAUCACGCUCACCGUCUGGGUGGCCUUGUACGACCGCGUGCUUGUGCGGCCCCUCUCGCGGCUCACCGGCCACGCGCGCGGGCUCAGCCUGCGACAGCGCAUGGGAGCCGGGCUGGCGGUCUUCGCCGUGGCCAUGGCUGUGGCCGCGCGAACCGAGGCCCUCCGCCGCGGCGCGGCCAUCGCGGAGGGCUUCCAGGACCAAAAGCAUGCGGUGGUACACAUGUCGGCGAUGCGGCUUGUGCCGCAGCACUGCCUCAUCGGGCUCGCCGACGCGUUGAACCUGAUCGGGCAGAUCGAGUUCUACUACUCCGAGUUCCCCAAGACCAUGUCCAGCAUCGGGGUGUCGCUGCUCGCCCUCGGCGUGGGCUUCGGCGCCGUGCUGGGGAGCGCCAUCGUGGGGAUCAUGAACAGCGCCACCGGGAGGGACGGGCGCGACAGCUGGUUGUCCAGCAACCUCAACAGGGGCCGCUACGACUACUACUAUCUGGUUCUCGCGGCGCUGUCCGUGGCCAACUUGGUGUACUUCAUCUGGUGCAGCUGGGCGUACGGCGAGGAAGGGCAGAUCAGAAUUAUGGCGUUGGCGGCUGAGGAGGCGGAGGAGGAAGAGACCAAACAAGAACAGCACAAAUGA